This is a non-coding RNA of Podarcis lilfordi (Lilford's wall lizard), 70 nucleotides long. The record is from the annotation of a GenBank genome assembly. Lineage: Eukaryota; Metazoa; Chordata; Lepidosauria; Squamata; Lacertidae.
GGAGCUCAGGCGGUUAGAGCGUGCAGUGCUGAUAACGCCAAGGUUGCAGGUUUGAUCCCCACAUGGGGCA